Molecule: ribosomal RNA, 492 nt
Filed under: uncultured bacterium
Lineage: Bacteria
Description: partial 16S ribosomal RNA
Rfam family: Bacterial small subunit ribosomal RNA
Source: RNAcentral
AGUGAACGCUGGCGGUAGGCCUAACACAUGCAAGUCGAACGGCAGCACAGUAAGAGCUUGCUCUUACGGGUGGCGAGUGGCGGACGGGUGAGGAAUACAUCGGAAUCUACUUUUUCGUGGGGGAUAACGUAGGGAAACUUACGCUAAUACCGCAUACGACCUACGGGGGAAAGCAGGGGAUCUUCGGACCUUGCGCGAUUGAAUUAGCCGAUGUCGGAUUAGCUAGUUGGCGGGGUAAAUGCCCACCAAGGCGACGAUCCGUAGCUGGUCUGUGAGGAUGAUAAGCGACACUGGAACUGAGCCACGGUCCAGACUCCUACGGGAGGCAGCAGUGGGGAAUAUUGGACAAUGGGCGCAAGCCUGAUCCAGCCAUACCGCGUGGGUGAAGAAGGCCUUCGGGUUGUAAAGCCCUUUUGUUGGGAAAGAAAAGCAGCAGGUUAAUACCCCGCUGUUCUGACGGUACCCAAAGAAUAAGCACCGGCUAACUUCGUG